UUUCCGUAGGUGAACCUGCGGAAGGAUCAUUAAUGAGUUGUCAUGGGGUUCGAUGCUGGCAGCCAGUUUUUGGAUGCAUGUGCUUGCCCUAACAAUCAUCUUCUUCCAAACACCUGUGCACAUUUUGGAGGGAGUCUUGAGUUGGUGGCCGCUCUUGGGUGAUUUUCUCACAUUCCCUUAAAUCAUUAUACGCUAUUAACAAUGUUGAACGUGCUCUGUGCCGCAAGGCCAUUAAUAUAAUACAACUUUUAACAACGGAUCUCUUGGCUCUC
This 272-nucleotide unclassified non-coding RNA is filed under the name plant metagenome. RNAcentral describes it as "partial contains small subunit ribosomal RNA, internal transcribed spacer 1, and 5.8S ribosomal RNA". The record is from RNAcentral.